Molecule: long non-coding RNA, 1202 nt
Filed under: Zonotrichia albicollis (white-throated sparrow)
Lineage: Eukaryota; Metazoa; Chordata; Aves; Passeriformes; Passerellidae
Description: lncRNA (ENSZALG00000009090.1)
Source: RNAcentral
CCCCGGACCCUCUGGGACAUGUGACAGCAGAAGGUGCCACGAACGCACAGGGGACGCUUCUGCAUUCACCACCCUCCGUGACAGUGCCAGGCUCUGCCGGGGGACAGUGGAGCUCCAGCAGCAGCCUGCUGGGAUGGAGGGCCACUGGGACAGCCCUCGUGCAGAGCCAGAAUGACACUGUCCAGCUGGGUGACAGCAGCCCAGGGACCCUCCCCAGCACCGUGCUGGCCUCUGACAGCUCAGGAACAGGGACAGCAGGGACGUCACCGUUUGCUGGGGGGCUGCAGAGGCUGCUGGCCCCCACAGGGACGCUGCAGGGGAUGCUGUCAGGAGGGCAGGGCUUUGCUCCCCACCCACGGGAGGGUCCCCGCUCUGCCCCUCAGCCCUCUGCGCUGUCCCCUGGGCCUGGUGCGAGCCCUUUGGCCAGCACAGCCUGGCCAGCCGAGGGGACGGGCCCAGCCUCGCUGCCUGCCACACGCAGGGGCUCAGCUCUGCCUCUCCCCACCUCCAUGGCCAGCACCCCAGGGGUGACAUCUCCCGGCCAGGGAGGAGCUCUGGACCUGACCACAGGGGUCUUGGGCCCACCUGACAGAGGGGGUGCCCCUGAGCACGGUCACAUCCCCCUGAGCCCGUCAGCCAUCCCAGGGCAGCCCCCUGUGCCCCCAGCCCCUGGCAGCCCUGCAGUGGCACAGGGUGGGGUGACACACACCAGUCCUGGGUCCCCCCACAUGUCCCUGUCCCCACAGUCUGCCCCAGCCAGUGGGUCUGCAGUGACCCUGCUGUCAGCCCCACUGCCUUCCCCAGGGACCAGCUGGGGCGUUCUGGGGUUCAGCCCCACUGUGGGCACCCCUCUGGGGGACCCCUCCCCAGGGCUGCCCCACUCCAGCCCAAAGGUGGGUCCUGCUGAGAGCCUUCCAUCCCUGGGGGGGACCCAGGUGGGAGUGGGCAGCCUGGCACCCCCCUCAGCACCGGGGCCUCCCCAGCAGCCAGCUUUGUCCCAGCCUGCACCUUCCCCAGGACCCACCACUGCUGUUGGUGUCACCAGCGCUGCUUCCACUGCCACCAUCACAGCUGCCACCAGCCCAGAAGGGCUCUGGGACACAGGGACGGCCACAGCAGAGCCACAUCCUGCUGUACUGCAGAGGGAUGUGCAGGGGGUGACCUGGGCAUCCCCAGCUCAGGUGCCCGCUGUGAUGCNNNNN